GAGAGCUAAAAGCACUGCUAGGGAGAGUCAGGAUGGGGUAGGAUGUGGGUAAUAAAGAGAGAGAAAUAGGAGAGGAGGACAACAGCCAACAUGUGAGGUUGACAGCAAACACAGAUGCAGAAGCAGGUCAGGUCAGAAAAGCACAUUUCCUUAGAAAUAGGCCUCAUUUCUAUUCUUCUGUGCUUUGUAGACAGGACAUCAGCCGGCAGCAAGCACAGAGGCACUGAUCCAGAGUGGCUGAGAAUGCCUCAAAGACUUGGCUGUACCACACACAGCAUGGGAUGUUUUGUUGACUGUGCAGGCACCACAUGCCUGCAAAUAAGAAAGGCAGGGCAAAGAGAGCUUUUCUUGAGGUCGGAGCGACUAUAUACAGAAAAGAUUACUUGGAACGGCACGUCACUGAAGCACCACCAGGAGCGCAUCAGAUGUCAGGCCUCUUGUUUCAUCUGGCAUCUCAAUGAUGGAUUCCUUUGAGCCAACUGUUGUUUUAGAGCACGAGGCAAUCAUUGGUGGGUUCAAGGGCCUUUACUGGCUCAUUAAAAAAGUAACUGGCCCCCCACACAAACGACCCAAAGCUUUUGAGCCUGGCUGAGCUUCUAGGAUGUAACUAUUUCAAGAGAUUAAAGAUUGACCAGAGGAAUAAUUAUAGAUCUCAUCGUAUCAUUGACAGAAUGCUUGAGAUCUUAGCAGGAGUCAUCGAGGAGCCGAUUCUCACUGAGAUCAAAUCAUCACAGGCAUU
Molecule: long non-coding RNA, 739 nt
Organism: Labrus mixtus (cuckoo wrasse)
Lineage: Eukaryota; Metazoa; Chordata; Actinopteri; Labriformes; Labridae
Exons: 4
Source: RefSeq, a predicted model, not a curated record